AUUGAACGCUGGCGGCAUGCCUAACACAUGCAAGUCGAACGAGUCGCGGACGUAUGAGUAAUGUCUGUGCCCCUUCCCGGUGGAGAGGUAUAACUACUGGAAACGGUAGCUAAUACCGCAUUCCAUCGCAUGUGCCCAGAUGGGAUUAGCUUGUGGGUGGGGUAACGGCUCACCUAGGCGACGAUCCCUAGCUGGUCUGAGAGGAUGACCAGCCACACUGGAACUGAGACACGGUCCAGACUCCUACGGGAGGCAGCAGUGGGGAAUAUUGGACAAUGGGCGAAAGCCUGAUACAGCCAUGCCGCGUGUAUGAAGAAGGCCUUCGGGUUGUAAAGUACUUUUAGCAGGGAGGCGUUACUCGCAGAAGAAGCACCGGCUAACUACGUGCCAGCAGCCGCGGUAAUAC
This 406-nucleotide ribosomal RNA is filed under the name uncultured bacterium. Its description in RNAcentral is "partial 16S ribosomal RNA". It matches the Rfam family "Bacterial small subunit ribosomal RNA", at positions 30 to 526 of the family's 1533-position model. The record is from RNAcentral.